This 72-nucleotide transfer RNA is filed under the name Ostreococcus tauri. It matches the Rfam family "tRNA". Rfam says of the family: Transfer RNA (tRNA) molecules are approximately 80 nucleotides in length. Their secondary structure includes four short double-helical elements and three loops (D, anti-codon, and T loops). The record is from Rfam by way of RNAcentral. Lineage: Eukaryota; Viridiplantae; Chlorophyta; Mamiellophyceae; Mamiellales; Bathycoccaceae.
GGCUCCAUAGCAUAGUGGUAUUGCGUGAGACUCCAGAUCUCAAGGUCCAAGGUUCGAAUCCUUGUGGGGUCA